Molecule: ribosomal RNA, 468 nt
Filed under: uncultured bacterium
Lineage: Bacteria
Description: partial 16S ribosomal RNA
Rfam family: Bacterial small subunit ribosomal RNA
Source: RNAcentral
GACGAACGCUGGCGGCGUGCUUAACACGUGCAAGUCGAACGGAAAGGCCCUGCUUUUGUGGGGUGCUCGAGUGGCGAACGGGUGAGUAACACGUGAGUAACCUGCCCUUGACUUUGGGAUAACUUCAGGAAACUGGGGCUAAUACCGGAUAGGAGCUCCUGCUGCAUGGUGGGGGUUGGAAAGUUUCGGCGGUUGGGGAUGGACUCGCGGCUUAUCAGCUUGUUGGUGGGGUAGUGGCUUACCAAGGCUUUGACGGGUAGCCGGCCUGAGAGGGUGACCGGCCACAUUGGGACUGAGAUACGGCGCAGACUCCUACGGGAGGCAGCAGUGGGGAAUAUUGCACAAUGGGCGGAAGCCUGAUGCAGCAACGCCGCGUGCGGGAUGACGGCCUUCGGGUUGUAAACCGCUUUCGCCUGUGACGAAGCGUGAGUGACGGUAAUGGGUAAAGAAGCACCGGCUAACUACGUG